AGUUCGGACUGCAGUCUGCAACUCGACUGCACGAAGCUGGAAUCGCUAGUAAUCGCGGAUCGGAAUGCUGCGGUGAAUACGUUCCCGGGUCUUGUACACACCGCCCGUCACACCAUGGGAGUCGGAAAUGCCCGAAGCCGGUGACCCAACCAAAAGGAGGGAGCCGUCGAAGGCAGGUCUGAUAACUGGGGUGAAGUCGUAACAAGGUAGC
Molecule: ribosomal RNA, 211 nt
Filed under: uncultured bacterium
Lineage: Bacteria
Description: partial 16S ribosomal RNA
Rfam family: Bacterial small subunit ribosomal RNA
Source: RNAcentral